UCCUGAGUCCAACGGGUUGGGAAGGCUAAAGAGGACUGGAUAAAACCCCUUACUUUAUAACAGCUAAUUGCUGCCUGAAACAAGAGCCAGGACAUUGGAGAGGUAGAAGAGGAACUUUUAGGAAGGAGAAUGGGACCAGUAGCUGCGCAGUCUUUGGGAGGGGGAAACGGGAAUUCGGUACCGAGAUCACUUUCCUCUGUGAGAUAAAAGAAGUAUAAGGAAACUGAGGUUCGGAGAGUGGAAGUGACCUGCCCCAGGCCACCCUACUAGUUAAGUGGCAAAACCAGUAUUGGA
This is a non-coding RNA of Phascolarctos cinereus (koala), 294 nucleotides long. NCBI's taxonomy places the organism in Eukaryota, Metazoa, Chordata, Mammalia, Diprotodontia, Phascolarctidae. The record is from RefSeq and is a predicted model, not a curated record.